UCUCUUCGUUUUCAAGGAAAAUAAUGGCAUUUUUUAAAAUCAACGGGUAUUCGAAUUUUCAAAGGAAGUUCUCUCCAUGAACCUUCUGAAUCUGUAUUUUAAAUUAAAAUUUGCUCCUGAACUGAUAGCCUACAAAGCAAAGAAGUCGCCCUUAUUUCAACAUCAAAUAAAUCGGUUUUUCUUUUGUCAACUUUUGUGUUAAAUGCCCCCACUGUACUCGUAUAGAGCUGAUUAAGGAACUGAAGAUGGACUGUGCUUGUGUAAACACAUUGACAUUAAAUGUUGACAAAUAAAAUGAAAAUAAAUGAGUUAUAGAAGA
Long non-coding RNA from Episyrphus balteatus (marmalade hoverfly), 319 nucleotides. RefSeq lists it as uncharacterized. The transcript is spliced from 2 exons. The record is from RefSeq and is a predicted model, not a curated record. Lineage: Eukaryota; Metazoa; Arthropoda; Insecta; Diptera; Syrphidae.